AAGAUGGAUUCUUUUUUUUUAAAUUUUUUAGAGGAUUUUCGUUGAUAAUUAUUUCGAUUUGGCUAAUUACGUGAUUAAUGUUUGUUUUUUCGAUGAUUUAUUGUGUAAUUAGAUAUAUUCCGGUGUUUCACGCGUCCAUCUAGUCCAAACCAUGGUGUCAAUGACUUUCCUAAUCAUGGCAUAAUCUUAAUCAUAUCUCAAUCAUCAUCAUUCCAGAGCUGAGGAGAUUAUCCUCGCUCAUCAUUCGGUUAAUUCUUCGAUCACUUUUGGCAUUGAAAUGGUUGAAGCGAUGCUGGAACGACUGACAGCUUGCACAUUCUCCUCAAUCCUCGAUCAAAAGAAGUUCUCGAUUGUAGGAAUAUUUCGCUCUAAAUUCGGCACCGUUCUUCAUCCUCAAGUUGAGGAUUCAUUUUACUAUCUCUUAUUGAACCCGAUACGUUAUUCAUCCGUUGCUGGAAAUUAUUCAAUGCAUUCCAGGCUCCAAUUCCUAUGUCAUGGAAUUGGUGGUCGAGUAGAGAAACACCUGACGAAACUGAAAUCGAAAUACACUGAAAGAAAAUUAAAAUGAAUACGGUUUGUUCAGUUCGACUCUCCAAUCGUCCAUAAUCGAUUUCAGAUGACAAAAUUACUCGAUGACAAAUCCGAACGCAUUAUUUACUGGGAACAUAUUCUAUGCAAUUUUUAAAUCAUACAGAAUGAUAUUGCUGUUCAGAACUGAUGCCAAUUCUGUGGUAGAUUUCUUCCGGCAAUUACCUACGGUGAUCUAGAAAUAUGCCAAACACUCAUAACCAAGCGACGCGACGUUGUAAUGUGAAUUUAGUGUUAGUUUCAUGACGUACCUACUUAUUCGAAGAAUUCUGAAGAAGUGAUAUUUAUCUGCGAAUUCUCAACAAUAGAGGUCUUCGAUCGUAAUUUUUCAAAGGCUUGGUCAAAGUACGACAAAGACAACCGAUUACACCUCCUACGGUCAUCAGUACGAGAGCAAUGAUUGAAAUUGAAAACGCAAUGUAACCACUAUGCCUUGACACAGAAAGAGAAAAACAUUAGGUACCUAUUCCAUUGGUUCACGAACUAUUAUGAUUCCGAGGAGUGAAGAAUAAGAUCCAGCAUCAAGGACCUCUUUUUGAUAUCAUUUUGAAGAGAUGAUCACAAACUACCCCAAAUACCAGGUGUAUUUCGCCUGAAUAAAUUAACAGAAUAUCUCAUCGAGCUAUUAUUUUGAUACUGUUUGUGAUAGUCAUCAAGUUGAAUUGUUCGGUGACUAUUCGAGACAGUGACAAAUUGACAUUUUUCUUUCUCGUGCCAGGAAAAGUGCUAUUGUAAGACGUACUUGAAAAAUAAGCAUUCGUCGUCGUCUCGUCGAGUCAUUUCCACCGGAAUUCGAUACUCGAAGAAGUUGCUGUCGAUUCAUGCUUUAUCUACUUACGUGUUGAAAUUAAU
This is a long non-coding RNA of Planococcus citri (citrus mealybug), 1440 nucleotides long. RefSeq lists it as uncharacterized. The transcript is spliced from 7 exons. The record is from RefSeq and is a predicted model, not a curated record. NCBI's taxonomy places the organism in Eukaryota, Metazoa, Arthropoda, Insecta, Hemiptera, Pseudococcidae.